Molecule: long non-coding RNA, 270 nt
Filed under: Carica papaya (papaya)
Lineage: Eukaryota; Viridiplantae; Streptophyta; Magnoliopsida; Brassicales; Caricaceae
Description: long non-coding RNA (CPAP_LNC000918)
Source: RNAcentral
CCAAUAUAACCCUCCAAUAAGUUUAUUAGAAUUGGAUUUGUGUCAAUGGAAUCUCAUCAUUUACACUUACUAAAAUUAAUGUUAUAUAUUCAUAUUAUAACAUAUAAACAAUAAGAACUAGCAUUCUUAUUAAAACUAAAAUUCAUAGGGAUUGAUAGAUAUAUAUAUAUGCACAAUAUAGACAAUAUACAUAGUUUCUGAAAGGUAUCAUGAACUGUACAAGUAAAGCCUUUUCAGUUAAUGCUCACUAGAAUGUUAAAAUAGAUCCGU